CGAUGAAGGGCGUACUAAUCUGCGAUAAGCGCCGGUAAGGUGAUAUGAACCGUUAUAACCGGCGAUACCCGAAUGGGGAAACCCAGUGUGAUUCGUCACACUAUCAUUAACUGAAUCCAUAGGUUAAUGAGGCGAACCGGGGGAACUGAAACAUCUAAGUACCCCGAGGAAAAGAAAUCAACCGAGAUUCCCCCAGUAGCGGCGAGCGAACGGGGAGGAGCCCAGAGCCUGAAUCAGCAUGUGUGUUAGUGGAAGCGUCUGGAAAGGCGCGCGAUACAGGGUGACAGCCCCGUACACAAAAGCGCAUGUGCUGUGAGCUCGAUGAGUAGGGCGGGACACGUGGUAUCCUGUCUGAAUAUGGGGGGACCAUCCUCCAAGGCUAAAUACUCCUGACUGACCGAUAGUGAACCAGUACCGUGAGGGAAAGGCGAAAAGAACCCCGGCGAGGGGAGUGAAAAAGAACCUGAAACCGU
Molecule: ribosomal RNA, 473 nt
Filed under: Salmonella enterica subsp. enterica serovar Enteritidis
Lineage: Bacteria; Pseudomonadati; Pseudomonadota; Gammaproteobacteria; Enterobacterales; Enterobacteriaceae
Description: partial 23S ribosomal RNA
Rfam family: Bacterial large subunit ribosomal RNA
Source: RNAcentral